GUGCUCGCUUCAGCAGCACAUAUGCUAAAACUAGAACGAUACAGAGCAUGGCCCCUGCACAAGGAUGACACGCAAAUUCGUGAAGCUUUCCAUUAAAAA
RNAcentral lists this small nuclear RNA (99 nucleotides) under Callithrix jacchus (white-tufted-ear marmoset). The record is from RNAcentral. Lineage: Eukaryota; Metazoa; Chordata; Mammalia; Primates; Cebidae.